GCUAAUUUACAUUUCGGACACAAAUUCGGUGUCCCAGAAAACCCUGCAGUGCAAGAGCAUUCAGCAUCCCAGAGAACGCCUGGGGAUUCAGGUCAGAGUUAUGCAAUCCUGACAUGGAGAGAAUGAAGAUUUGUUUUGGUGCUGGAUGAAAACCAGCACUGGAGCAAAACUAAGGUAAGUAAAGGCUAAAUUUAAUCUGACAUUACAUCGCCAUUCAAAACUUAAGUGAUAUCCUGUAUAGGCAUU
Non-coding RNA from Pelobates cultripes (western spadefoot toad), 246 nucleotides. The record is from the annotation of a GenBank genome assembly. Lineage: Eukaryota; Metazoa; Chordata; Amphibia; Anura; Pelobatidae.